GACGAACGCUGGCGGCGUGCUUAACACAUGCAAGUCGAGCGGUAAGGCCCUUUCGGGGGUACACGAGCGGCGAACGGGUGAGUAACACGUGGGUGACCUGCCCUUAGCUCUGGGAUAAGCCUGGGAAACUGGGCCUAAUACCGGAUAUGACUCCAUGACGCAUGUUGUGGGGUGGAAAGCCUUGUGCGGCUAGGGAUGGGCCCGCGGCCUAUCAGCUUGUUGGUGGGGUGAUGGCCACCAAGGCGACGACGGGUAGCCGGCCUGAGAGGGCGACCGGCCACACUGGGACUGAGACACGGCCCAGACUCCUACGGGAGGCAGCAGUGGGGAAUCUUGCGCAAUGGGCGAAAGCCUGACGCAGCGACGCCGCGUGGGG
This 376-nucleotide ribosomal RNA is filed under the name uncultured bacterium. RNAcentral's name for it is "bacterial SSU rRNA". It matches the Rfam family "Bacterial small subunit ribosomal RNA", at positions 28 to 406 of the family's 1533-position model. The record is from RNAcentral.